CAUUGGAGUAAGUUUGUCUUGUUACACUAUUGUUAACUUCUUGUUGCUUUAGUUUGUUUGUAGUUGAUAACUUUGAAAUGCCGCAUACAAACAUUCUACUGCCUCUGUUGAUAGUCACCCGGUUACCAUGGCUACAAGGGACCUACGCGAAUGGUUGCGUUGGUUUGUUUUCAAUGUCAGGGAACUUUGUCCAGAGUGGUGUAUUGCAAACAGUUGCAGUGUCGACUCUUGAAGAAUGCAAGCAGGCAUGCCUUAAUGAAAAAGAAUGCCUGACGAUAAACUAUAAACUAAAGACGUUCACGUGUGAGUUGAACAGCGCAUCGCACCUGUCACACCCUAUACAUGACAGACGCAGUGACGACGCAUACUCGACGCAUACAUGGUGUGAUGAAACCGCUGGUCAUAUGCAGCAAUCUGUUCUGCACCACCGGUUACGCAUGCCAGAUGAACGCUGACGGGAUUUCUUACAGAUGCGAUGCAGUUGUUCAAAUAUCAGUGAAGGAAACUCGGGAAUUACAAAUAGCGUUAGUCAAAGUCAAAUAAGUUUUGUCCAUAGUAAACGUACUAUAAAAAACAAACAUUAUAUUAUAACCUAAGGUUUCUCUAUGGCCAAAUAUUUAUCACGUCAGACAGUAUAAGAUUAGUGUCAAAAUUCCCUGAUUCCUCCCCAUCAGAUAGAACGGUUUUAAUUUUUAAAAAAGCAAUCUAUGUGACCCGAGGUUCUAGUUGUCAUUCGACACCCUCUUGAUUCAACUCUGAAGGUCUCCUGGCCAAUAACCACAUUCAUGAC
Molecule: long non-coding RNA, 790 nt
Organism: Nematostella vectensis (starlet sea anemone)
Lineage: Eukaryota; Metazoa; Cnidaria; Anthozoa; Actiniaria; Edwardsiidae
Exons: 3
Source: RefSeq, a predicted model, not a curated record